GUCUACAGCAAUACCACCCUGAACACACCUGAUCUCAUCUGAUCUCAGAAACUAAGCAAGGUCAGGCCUGGUUAGUACUUCGAUGGGAGAUCAAUUUUGAAAGACAGUUUUACAGGGU
Molecule: ribosomal RNA, 118 nt
Organism: Fukomys damarensis (Damara mole-rat)
Lineage: Eukaryota; Metazoa; Chordata; Mammalia; Rodentia; Bathyergidae
Source: Ensembl